Piliocolobus tephrosceles (Ugandan red Colobus) is the source of this 540-nucleotide RNA transcript. It is a transcript of the gene named immunoglobulin heavy variable 3-23-like, with no coding region annotated. The transcript is spliced from 3 exons. NCBI's taxonomy places the organism in Eukaryota, Metazoa, Chordata, Mammalia, Primates, Cercopithecidae. The record is from RefSeq and is a predicted model, not a curated record.
CCAGCCCAGCCCUGACCCUGCAGCUCUGGGGGAGGAGACCCAGACCUGGCAUUUUCAGGUGUUUUCAUUUGGUGAUCAGGACGGAACACAGAGGACUCACCAUGGAGUUUGGGCUGAGCUGGGUUUUUCUUGUUACUAUUUUAAAAGGUGUCCAGUGUGAGGUGCAGCUGGUGGAGUCUGGGGGAGGCUUGGUACAGCCUGGGGGGUCCCUGAGACUCUCCUGUGCAGCCUCUGGAUUCACCUUCAGUAACUACUGGAUGGGCUGGGUCCGCCAGGCUCCAGGGAAGGGGCUGGAGUGGGUCUCACAUAUUAGUAGUGGUAGCGGUAGUAGCACAUACUACCCAGACUCUGUCAAGGGCCGAUUCACCAUCUCCAGAGACAACGCCCAGAACACGCUGUAUCUUCAAAUGAACAGCCUGAGAGCCGAGGACACGGCUGUGUAUUACUGUGCGAGAGACACAUUGAGGGGAAGUCAGUAGAUGAAAAGGCCUCAACCAUGACCACCAAGAUCAGCGUCCUGAGGAAGCUCAAGGGUGCCUG